Molecule: ribosomal RNA, 695 nt
Filed under: Streptomyces sp. P3733
Lineage: Bacteria; Bacillati; Actinomycetota; Actinomycetes; Kitasatosporales; Streptomycetaceae
Description: bacterial SSU rRNA
Rfam family: Bacterial small subunit ribosomal RNA
Source: RNAcentral
UCAGGACGAACGCUGGCGGCGUGCUUAACACAUGCAAGUCGAACGAUGAAGCCCUUCGGGGUGGAUUAGUGGCGAACGGGUGAGUAACACGUGGGCAAUCUGCCCUUCACUCUGGGACAAGCCCUGGAAACGGGGUCUAAUACCGGAUAUGAGCCUGGGAGGCAUCUCCCGGGUUGUAAAGCUCCGGCGGUGAAGGAUGAGCCCGCGGCCUAUCAGCUUGUUGGUGAGGUAAUGGCUCACCAAGGCGACGACGGGUAGCCGGCCUGAGAGGGCGACCGGCCACACUGGGACUGAGACACGGCCCAGACUCCUACGGGAGGCAGCAGUGGGGAAUAUUGCACAAUGGGCGAAAGCCUGAUGCAGCGACGCCGCGUGAGGGAUGACGGCCUUCGGGUUGUAAACCUCUUUCAGCAGGGAAGAAGCGAAAGUGACGGUACCUGCAGAAGAAGCGCCGGCUAACUACGUGCCAGCAGCCGCGGUAAUACGUAGGGCGCAAGCGUUGUCCGGAAUUAUUGGGCGUAAAGAGCUCGUAGGCGGCUUGUCACGUCGAUUGUGAAAGCCCGAGGCUUAACCUCGGGUCUGCAGUCGAUACGGGCUAGCUAGAGUGUGGUAGGGGAGAUCGGAAUUCCUGGUGUAGCGGUGAAAUGCGCAGAUAUCAGGAGGAACACCGGUGGCGAAGGCGGAUCUCUGGGCCA